Long non-coding RNA from Musa acuminata AAA Group (dessert banana), 454 nucleotides. RefSeq lists it as uncharacterized. The transcript has 2 exons. The record is from RefSeq and is a predicted model, not a curated record. Lineage: Eukaryota; Viridiplantae; Streptophyta; Magnoliopsida; Zingiberales; Musaceae.
UUCAUGUUCUCGUGGACUGAAGGCCAUUUCUUGAUUCGGUCUUUCACAUGCCCACGAAUAUAGGGUAUAUGGUACAUGUUGCUCGGAACAUAGGAAAACGUUAGCCAUUGAACCAAAUAAACGUUUUUGUUGCUUGGAUCCUAUUUUCUUGGAUUUACUAUGAAGGAUUGGUGGCUUGGCUACAAGAUGAAGAUAGAUUCCCAUGCUUUAUCAAUGGGUAUAUGGCACCUCUUCGGAACAUAAGAAAACGUUAGCUAGGUUUGCUAAUUUCAUUUUAUUUGGUCCAUUUUUUGCACGAUUCUUUGCUAUUGAGCUGAAGAAACCAUUUUGUUGCUUGGAUUCUUUUGUAUUGGGUUCACCAAGGAGGUCAAAAAUGGGGAUCUGACUGCAAGAAGAAGAUAGGAACCUCUUCAUAACUAAAACCAAUCUUGCUACGAGAUAUCUUUGAUGGCAG